AGAGUUUGAUCCUGGCUCAGAUUGAACGCUGGCGGCAUGCCUUACACAUGCAAGUCGAACGGCAGCACGAGAGCUUGCUCUUGGUGGCGAGUGGCGAACGGGUGAGUAAUAUAUCGGAACGUACCCUAGAGUGGGGGAUAACGUAGCGAAAGUUACGCUAAUACCGCAUACGAUCUACGGAUGAAAGUGGGGGAUCGCAAGACCUCAUGCUCAUGGAGCGGCCGAUAUCUGAUUAGCUAGUUGGUGGGGUAAAAGCUCACCAAGGCGACGAUCAGUAGCUGGUCUGAGAGGACGACCAGCCACACUGGAACUGAGACACGGUCCAGACUCCUACGGGAGGCAGCAGUGGGGAAUUUUGGACAAUGGGCGCAAGCCUGAUCCAGCAAUGCCGCGUGAGUGAAGAAGGCCUUCGGGUUGUAAAGCUCUUUUGUCAGGGAAGAAACGGUGGACUCUAAUACAGAUCACUAAUGACGGUACCUGAAGAAUAAGCACCGGCUAACUACGUGCCAGCAGCCGCGGUAAUACGUAGGGUGCAAGCGCUAAUCGGAAUUACUGGGCGUAAAGCGUGCGCAGGCGGUUGUGCAAGACAGAUGUGAAAUCCCCGGGCUCAACCUGGGAAUUGCAUUUGUGACUGCACGGCUAGAGUGUGUCAGAGGGGGGUAGAAUUCCACGUGUAGCAGUGAAAUGCGUAGAGAUGUGGAGGAAUACCGAUGGCGAAGGCAGCCCCCUGGGAUAACACUGACGCUCAUGCACGAAAGCGUGGGGAGCAAACAGGAUUAGAUACCCUGGUAGUCCACGCCCUAAACGAUGUCUACUAGUUGUCGGGUCUUAAUUGACUUGGUAACGCAGCUAACGCGUGAAGUAGACCGCCUGGGGAGUACGGUCGCAAGAUUAAAACUCAAAGGAAUUGACGGGGACCCGCACAAGCGGUGGAUGAUGUGGAUUAAUUCGAUGCAACGCGAAAAACCUUACCUACCCUUGACAUGUCUGGAAUCCUUGAGAGAUCAGGGAGUGCUCGAAAGAGAAUCAGAACACAGGUGCUGCAUGGCUGUCGUCGGCUCGUGUCGUGAGAUGUUGGGUUAAGUCCCGCAACGAGCGCAACCCUUGUCAUUAGUUGCUACGAAAGGGCACUCUAAUGAGACUGCCGGUGACAAACCGGAGGAAGGUGGGGAUGACGUCAAGUCCUCAUGGCCCUUAUGGGUAGGGCUUCACACGUCAUACAAUGGUACAUACAGAGGGCCGCCAACCCGCGAGGGGGAGCUAAUCCCAGAAAGUGUAUCGUAGUCCGGAUUGUAGUCUGCAACUCGACUACAUGAAGUUGGAAUCGCUAGUAAUCGCGGAUCAGCAUGUCGCGGUGAAUACGUUCCCGGGUCUUGUACACACCGCCCGUCACACCAUGGGAGCGGGUUUCACCAGAAGUGGGUAGCCUAACCGCAAGGAGGGCGCUCACCACGGUGGGAUUCGUGACUGGGGUGAAGUCGUAACAAGGUA
Molecule: ribosomal RNA, 1491 nt
Filed under: metagenome
Description: bacterial SSU rRNA
Rfam family: Bacterial small subunit ribosomal RNA
Source: RNAcentral